Molecule: ribosomal RNA, 43 nt
Filed under: Tuber neoexcavatum
Lineage: Eukaryota; Fungi; Ascomycota; Pezizomycetes; Pezizales; Tuberaceae
Description: partial 18S ribosomal RNA
Source: RNAcentral
UAAAAAGGUUUUUCGUUAGGUGAACCUUGCCGGAGGAUCAUUA